UCCAGCUAAUCGCCGGCAGUCUCGCUAGAGUGCCCAGCAUUACCUGAUGGCAACUAACGAUAAAGGUUGCGCUCGUUGCGGGACUUAACCCAACACUUCACAGCACGAGCUGACGACAGCCAUGCAGCACCUGUGGAAAAGCUCCUUGCGGAGAAACCGACUUUCAUCGGCUGUCUUAACCAUGUCAAGCCUGGGUAAGGUUCUUCGCGUAGCCUCGAAUUAAACCACAUGCUCCACCGCUUGUGCGGGUCCCCGUCAAUUUCUUUGAGUUUCAGUCUUGCGACCGUACUCCCCAGGUGGUGGAUUUAAUGCGUUAGCGUCGGCACCGGAGGGAUCGACACCUCCGACACCUAAUCCACAUCGUUUACGGCAAGGACUAC
RNAcentral lists this unclassified non-coding RNA (380 nucleotides) under uncultured bacterium. RNAcentral describes it as "contains 16S-23S intergenic spacer region". The record is from RNAcentral.